Molecule: non-coding RNA, 980 nt
Organism: Pogona vitticeps (central bearded dragon)
Lineage: Eukaryota; Metazoa; Chordata; Lepidosauria; Squamata; Agamidae
Source: RefSeq, a predicted model, not a curated record
AGACCUCUAGGUAUUGCUUUUUGCCCUCACAGAGAGAAAGCGGUUCACUGAGUGAGGUUUUGAGCCUGAGCCUCCACAACUCUAACCACUCUGCUUGGGCUUUCUAAUCGCCAGACUGACCUUAGACGACCAGGGGGCAUUUGAAGGAUGGUCUCCAUGAAUGACUUUGGAGCACUAGGUCAAUAGAGGUACUGCUCUGCCUGCUAAAACAAGGGCUGGGGGAUGUAUAUUGAGAUGGGCAACCAGUGGUUUUCUGUUUUUUUUUCUCAGACUUCAACUCCCAGCACAGCAAAUAAUCAGGGAUGCUGGAAAUUACUGUCCAAGAACAUCUGGAGGUUCACUCCUUCCCCAUGACUUAUGUUUAGGCAUCAUCACAGAACCACUUGGUUUCACAGGAAAUUUUAAGUUGGAUUUCUUGAACUCCUCAGAGAUCCCAAGUAUCACUGGCCAUCCAGUAUGCGAAGAAAGACAGGACGUCUGUAUUAAACAAACCAACUCUGGAGCUCGCCUCAUCGCAUUUUCUGAAGCCAGAUCUGGACCUCAGUCCAGUUGCUAGCACCAACUGCAGUGAGCCCACUGAAUCAAAGGCAUUGCCCUAUCAUUUUCCCAGCAAGAUAAACGGUCGUGAGUUCAAGGCAACACUUGUGUUUCCACCCCACCUCCAGGCCACCUGGCUAGAGCCACAGAUGUGCCAUUCAGCUGCAGUAAUGCUGUUGAUGGGAGAGGGCAGCCUGCCUCUUGUGUUACCAUCCCCAGUAAAUUAUCUGAGGAGCAAGACUGAUGGAACUGGAGACUGGAGGGAUGGGAGCUGGGUCUGUCAGCUAGCAGCAGCUGAUGAAAAGCAGGACAAAGAAACAGUGUGUGCUCACAGAGGGGGGAGUGAUGGAGUUUUUGUGGUGAAUCACAUUUUGACAUUACACAUUAUACUGUAAUUGCCCUGAGAUGCAUGUUUUCUUUCCAAGUUGGGGGUGAAGGAGCCC